Molecule: long non-coding RNA, 445 nt
Organism: Sinocyclocheilus anshuiensis
Lineage: Eukaryota; Metazoa; Chordata; Actinopteri; Cypriniformes; Cyprinidae
Exons: 3
Source: RefSeq, a predicted model, not a curated record
CAGCUGGUAGCCCAUCUCUGUGGCCAGUUCAGAGUCGCUUGAGGCCUGUGCAAACGCCCGCUCCACCAUCCUAGAGAGUGCAGCGCCAGCAUCCUCAGAGCCUCCAGGUUAUUUUUAUCUCGCUGGAGAAGCCUGAAGUUCAGAAGAUGAAAUUAAAGUCAAAGUCUGUUGAUGUGUAAAACAGAUGUUCUGAGAUGUCUUUGCAUAAAGCAUUUUUUCCCUGAAUAUUUAGAUAUACAUUUUCAAUAUCCAUUAUAAACAUUACUUUAUUCUGUGACAAACACCGCAUUAUAAACUUUUCUGCUUGUUUAUUUCAGGGAAACUCAGCUCACAAAUAUCACCUGCUCUAUCAGAAUCAGAAUGAGCUUUAUUGCCAGCAGCCACAGCAGCAUGCCAGCGUAAUACAGAGCUUUGGGACUCGCCGUCUUCCUCUCCUCCUUCACCC